UGUCCCUCCCUCUCUCUCUCUCUCUCUGGUAUUAAAUCACAGUGCAGUGUGUGUGUGUGUGUGUGUUGUUGAGUCUGAAGCAUGUCGUCCUUCAGCCUACUGCUGCUCAGCGCCGCUCUGAUACACACCACCCAGCCUUUUCCUUCGUCACGUGGCAGAGGGGGGCGUGGACUAGAUGUCUCGAUGGGCGAAGUCAGACGCCAGCGCAGAGACCUGCAGCCGUACGAAGACGAAAUGAUGUCGUACCAGGUGGCAGGACAAGGGGGCGGGGCCAACAACUUGUACUACCGAUCAAAUGACUGGAGGGGGAGGAGCCUGGAGCAGGCCCUGCAGCGAUUGGUGGAGAGAGACCAGAGGAGGGAGGAGGAGGCGGAGCAACGAGCAGCGUACCUGGUGGCUUUGCUCCGCCUCCUGAACGAGGCUCGGAGCUCGGGAUUGGUCGGUCCAGGCGGGAUGGAGGUGAUGGAGGAAGAGGAGGAUGAAGAGGAAGACCAGGGUCCUCAGAGGAACUUUCAGGACUACGAUGAGACAGGAGAAGCUGCUCAAACCUUAUUGAACAGAAUGGAAAAACUACAACAGAGUGGUAGAGACCAGGAAGUGCUGAGGAGGCUUGUUGCUAGGAUACUGUCCAGCGUUACCCCUGACAACCUCCAACCCGUCCCUGCUCGACCUCGACUGAGGAGGGACCUGUCCUUCAAAACCUCUGGCCCCACCCACAGGAGGAGCCGGCGUUCCCUUGACGACCAGCCUCUUCCGUCUCCUAGCAACGCCCCCCCCCUCCUCCGGGUGAAGCGGCUGGAGGAGGAAGAGGAGGAAGAGGAGGAAGAGCGGCGUGCAGGGAGUCGUAGGAGGAGAGCCCUGACCUUUGACCCCCAGAUACUGAUGGAGCAGAUCCUGGAUUACAUGAGGGAGUGAAGAACGCCAUCAUAUUAUUACCCAUGAGCCUCAGCGUGAGCCACAAGCUCACUCACCUGCACCGUAACUUACUUUAAAAUAAGUUAACCAAAUAAACUUUAACUACGUUAACCA
Molecule: long non-coding RNA, 1029 nt
Organism: Gouania willdenowi (blunt-snouted clingfish)
Lineage: Eukaryota; Metazoa; Chordata; Actinopteri; Blenniiformes; Gobiesocidae
Source: Ensembl